Cydia amplana is the source of this 167-nucleotide long non-coding RNA. RefSeq lists it as uncharacterized. The record is from RefSeq and is a predicted model, not a curated record. The transcript has 2 exons. NCBI's taxonomy places the organism in Eukaryota, Metazoa, Arthropoda, Insecta, Lepidoptera, Tortricidae.
CUGGUGGCCUAGCGGUAAGAGCGUGCGACUUGCAAUCCGGAGGUCGCGGGUUCGAACCCCGGCUUGUACCAAUGAGUUUUUCGGAACUUAUGUACAGUCAGCGCCAAAUACUUUGUAGCAGUCAAAGUGGCCAAAUAGUUCGGUACACCAUACUAAAUAUAUGGUGU